Molecule: long non-coding RNA, 2286 nt
Organism: Alligator mississippiensis (American alligator)
Lineage: Eukaryota; Metazoa; Chordata; Crocodylia; Alligatoridae
Exons: 2
Source: RefSeq, a predicted model, not a curated record
AGAUGCUUUCCACACUUUUUUCCACAUCAGGAAAUCAUGGAUAUGGACACCAUACACCACUGUUUCCUGGAUUACAGACCUAUAUGUCACUACAAGAAGAAGAGCGAAUACAUAUAAGAAGCUUGUGAGAAAUUUCCUCUAAUUGACCAUAUUAAGGAAAAGCAAACCAUAUAAAGACUACUGAAAUUGUUAAUUUAUCUGCAGUCCUAAACAAGACUCAGCCGCAGCUGGCACACAGGCUUGCAGGAUCCUAGCAAGUAUUCAGAGUUGCAACACUGCCCACUGGAGAUGCAGAUGGUCUGUGACCAGCAGACUGGGACUGCAGACAGACCUCAACACUGUUUUUAUGUGGUUUGACUGACAGCAUUCAGGUUAUGCACUAGAACCUGCAUUUGCAAUGGAUAGAAAUUCUGGACAGUUAAGGGGCUUCAAAUGAUUUGGAGCAGACAGAACUGCUGCUGUUUAGAAAAAGUUCUAGAGACAGAUCUAUUUUUGUGAACCCUGCUGUUGCAUAACAUUGGAGCAUGGAUAAAUCUGAAAAAAUGGAUGCCACUCCCUGAAAUGUUAAGUGAAAGGAAGCAGGAUUUUGCAAAAAAUUUCCAUUCAAGUAUGUACCAAAAGGGCAUGUGUUUUAUAUCCAGCAGCAGUAAGGCAUAUUUAUUCCACUGUGUGCAUGAGUGCGGGUAACAUAACUGGGAGCCAGUCACAAUGCCCUUUCCACUUUGUUAAGUGAGAGGGAAGUCCUGUAUAGAAAAAAAGUUGAGAACCACUAGAAUAUGAGCAGUUCAUACAAGGUCACAUUUGACUUUAUGCAAGUCCAACAUGUAAAACAAAAUUGUUCCAUGUGGGAGGGUUAGCUAUAGUUGCCUAGAUCUUCCUAGAGAAUAGGCUGCAUUCAUAAAGCACUAGGAAUGAGGAAAACAUUUAUGAGUAUCUGUGGUUGGUUAGAAGCUUUGCUUAUUCCCCAGCAGGACUUUCUGGCUUUGCUUAACAGUGCAGAGAGAUCCAGGAUGUCUUAACCUCAUUUCCAAACCUGGGUAUAGUCUCACACUGGACUGAACAUGCUUUUUUCCUCCCCAUCUGAUUUUUUUUAAACAGACAGAACAGGUAUGGCAUCAAAGCUUCUUUAAGAAUGGAAGGGCUGGUGGCAUAACUGGAGGUGGGAAAUCAAACCUAGAAAUAGCCCAGGCACAAAGCUUGCCCAAUCAGCAAGGCAAUGUAGUUAGCCAUAUUAGUCUGACAUCAAAUAGAAGGCAGGGUAGUUUUGCACAUUAUAAAUUUUAUCUAUCUAUCUACCUACCUACCUACCUAGAUAUAUAUCUGUCUAUAUAUCUAUCUAUCUAUCUCACAAGCCCAAUGCCCCUGGAGCAAGAUUACCUUUCUGCUAACCUUGAAGGCUGUAGAAAUCAUGACUCCUGCUACCUGAGUUAAUAAUUUGGUACUCUCUCCACAAUGAUCGUAAUUGCGUAAUCAGGGCUAAACUUAUGACUUUAGAGCAGCUCAGAGAGAUGAGUACAGCUUGUGUAAACAUACCCUGAGCUAGUUUUAAACUAACUGGUUUGGGUCAGAGUCUAGACAAAGACGCACAAGCCUUUAGGAGGGACUGCCCAAGCCUGCCCACAACCCUGGAUAAGGACUGUCAUUGAAACUGGUGCUUCACUGCUAUCAGUACCUGAACUAACCAGACGUACCAAAUCUAAUUAAAUUGGCAUGUCUACACAAGCUGUAGUCACACCUCUGGAUUACACUUCAGGAAGUGUCUGAAAACCUUUCUUUGGUAUAGGCUUUAUCAAUGUUGUAGACUUGUGACAUAAAAUCUAAACAUCUUUCAGUUUUAAUGGUGGCCUGAGCAGCACUGGCAAUAUUACUGUAAUAUAUUUAAAUUGAAAAAUCAGUUCAAUUAAGUCACACACUAAAUAUUUCUGCAACUGUCCAGGUAUGAUUCAUAAUGUAGUAGAGUCUAUUUAAAGACUGGCUACAGAGGCAUGAGAACUGGGGUGACGGCUAGCAUUCUCAGGCUCGCAACUUCCACAAAUGAUAAAGCCUAACCAGAACCAGACAUCUGCCAUUUGCAAACUGGCUCUUGCUCAUUUCUCAACACACUCUACUCCGGAGCUUUGGAUUAUCUCUGUGUAAGGAGUUUGACAAUACGAUGCCUGAAAGAGGCCAUACAAAUCCGACUUGUAUUGAUAAAGGCAAAACAGAACCCUGCAUAUCGGCAGGUCUCAACUCUGUCACACCAAAAUGUCAAAAAAAUAAGUUAAUUCAAUAAAUUAUUAUACAAUA